AUUGAACGCUGGCGGCAGGCCUAACACAUGCAAGUCGGACGGUAACAGGAAGCAGCUUGCUGCUUUGCUGACGAGUGGCGGACGGGUGAGUAAUGUCUGGGAAACUGCCUGAUGGAGGGGGAUAACUACUGGAAACGGUAGCUAAUACCGCAUAACGUCGCAAGACCAAAGAGGGGGACCUUAGGGCCUCUUGCCAUCAGAUGUGCCCAGAUGGGAUUAGCUUGUUGGUGGGGUAACGGCUCACCAAGGCGACGAUCCCUAGCUGGUCUGAGAGGAUGACCAGCCACGCUGGAACUGAGACACGGUCCAGACUCCUACGGGAGGCAGCAGUGGGGAAUAUUGCACAAUGGGCGCAAGCCUGAUGCAGCCAUGCCGCGUGUAUGAAGAAGGCCUUCGGGUUGUAAAGUACUUUCAGCGGGGAGGAAGGGGAGAAGGUUAAUAACCUUUUUCAUUGACGUUACCCGCAGAAGAAGCACCGGCUAACUCCGUGCCAGCCGCCGCAGUAA
This 506-nucleotide ribosomal RNA is filed under the name uncultured bacterium. RNAcentral's name for it is "partial 16S ribosomal RNA". It matches the Rfam family "Bacterial small subunit ribosomal RNA", at positions 30 to 523 of the family's 1533-position model. The record is from RNAcentral.